GACGAACGCUGGCGGCGUGCUUAACACAUGCAUGUCGAACGGAAAGGCCCUGCUUUUGUGGGGUGCUCGAGUGGCGAACGGGUGAGUAACACGUGAGUAACCUGCCCUUGACUUUGGGAUAACUUCAGGAAACUGGGGCUAAUACCGGAUAGGAGCUCCUGCUGCAUGGUGGGGGUUGGAAAGUUUCGGCGGUUGGGGAUGGACUCGCGGCUUAUCAGCUUGUUGGUGGGGUAGUGGCUUACCAAGGCUUUGACGGGUAGCCGGCCUGAGAGGGUGACCGGCCACAUUGGCACUGGGAUACGGCCCAGACUCCUACGGGGGGCAGCAGUGGGGAAUAUUGCACGGUGGGCGGAAGCCGUAUGCAGAAACGCCGGGUGCGGGAGGACGGCCUUCGGGUUGUAAACCGCUUUCGCCUGUGACGAAGGGUGGGUGGCGGUAAUGGGUAAAGAAGCACCGGCUAACUACGU
RNAcentral lists this ribosomal RNA (467 nucleotides) under uncultured bacterium. Its description in RNAcentral is "partial 16S ribosomal RNA". It matches the Rfam family "Bacterial small subunit ribosomal RNA", at positions 28 to 506 of the family's 1533-position model. The record is from RNAcentral.